AGUUCUUUACACAGUUCAAUUGGCGGAGAGACCAAUCUAGCGUUGUAAAUGUAAAACACGAAAAAUUGAUUAUGUGAUUUAUAUUUUAAAUCUAACAAUUGCCUAGUUACUAUACCUAAACAACGAAAUGGAAUUCUGAAAAUAAACUUGCAUGGCUAGUCGUGUUGAAUUUCGAAUCAUGAAGUCUCCGUCAGGAAUCUACAGUACGGACAAGGACGGAUUUCCACCAGUCAAUGGGUCUGACCAUCGAAAUUGGUUCAGCAACUUCAACACGAACAAGCGAAAUUCCAGUCUAAAUUCAUCAAUUUCGCCUUUUUAUUACAAACGUGUUGGGGUUCAGAAAAGAAUUAAUUUCGAUUUCUUUCGAUUCUAGGAUUGAUUAACACAUCCAAACUUGAAAAAAUGAAAUAAUCCUGCCAAACAUAUUGAAAGAAAAUCUGGUAAUGGAUUCGUACGUUUUUAUUCUGUUUUUUUUUUCCGUCAGCAUAGUUUACCUCAUUGUUCAGAGUUAAUCACCCGAGUUAAUACCCCGAGAAGGUGACUUCCCACAGGUGUGGCUCUAAGUUACGACAGUUGACUUUCUCAUGAGAUGGAAGGGGUGAUCCCAGAAAUUGUUUGCCUUAGCUAGGAUAGAACUAAGGGCAGUAUAAAAACAGUUUUCCGCUAUUUAGCACAAGAAGUUGCAUAAUACAUAUUAGUACAAAAUUUAAAAAAAAUUUUGCAUUGAAAACGCUUAUCUGCCAUCCGGUGAGUUAAAGAAGGUGUUUUUUAUUUAAUGCUGAAAUUGCUGUGUUAUAGGAAUCAUGAUAAGGCUGUCUGGUAAGGUGCUUUGGAAUUUCUACCAAUUUUCCAUCAUACAGGUACGAGUAUGUCAACCUAUAGUCUAGUGAUAGAAUAUUGAUUGACUUAUGAACUCGCGGAAAUUGCUAGGAAUUAAGACAAAGUAUAAGCCUCGGGUUUCUCAAAGGUAUUUGCAAUGAACUGAUACGCCUAUAUCAUGAGAAUAAUGCCGAUUAGAUAGCAGGUGCGACUAAUGCUAUAAAAGACCUAACUCGAAC
Wyeomyia smithii (pitcher-plant mosquito) is the source of this 1058-nucleotide long non-coding RNA. RefSeq lists it as uncharacterized. The transcript has 3 exons. NCBI's taxonomy places the organism in Eukaryota, Metazoa, Arthropoda, Insecta, Diptera, Culicidae. The record is from RefSeq and is a predicted model, not a curated record.